Molecule: small nuclear RNA, 23 nt
Filed under: Arabidopsis thaliana (thale cress)
Lineage: Eukaryota; Viridiplantae; Streptophyta; Magnoliopsida; Brassicales; Brassicaceae
Description: snRNA_08596
Source: RNAcentral
GUCCCACUGCAUAGAAUACUUGA